RNAcentral lists this ribosomal RNA (406 nucleotides) under uncultured bacterium. Its description in RNAcentral is "partial 16S ribosomal RNA". It matches the Rfam family "Bacterial small subunit ribosomal RNA", at positions 30 to 526 of the family's 1533-position model. The record is from RNAcentral.
AUUGAACGCUGGCGGCAGGCCUAACACAUGCAAGUCGAGCGAGCGGCGGACGGGUGAGUAAUGUCUGGGAAACUGCCUGAUGGAGGGGGAUAUCUACUGGAAACGGUAGCUAAUACCGCAUACCAUCAGAUGUGCCCAGAUGGGAUUAGCUAGGAGGUGGGGUAAUGGCUCACCUAGGCGACGAUCCCUAGCUGGCCUGAGAGGAUGACCAGCCACACUGGAACUGAGACACGGUCCAGACUCCUACGGUAGGCAGCAGUGGGAAAUAUUGCAAAAUGGGGGCAGGCCUGAUGCAGCCAGGCCGCGUGUGUGAAGAAGGCCUUCGGGUUGUAAAGCACUUUCAGCGGGGAGGCGUUACCCGCAGAAGAAGCACCGGCUAACUCCGUGCCAGCCGCCGCGGUAAUUC